RNAcentral lists this ribosomal RNA (436 nucleotides) under uncultured Lachnospiraceae bacterium. RNAcentral describes it as "partial 16S ribosomal RNA". It matches the Rfam family "Bacterial small subunit ribosomal RNA", at positions 341 to 792 of the family's 1533-position model. Lineage: Bacteria; Bacillati; Bacillota; Clostridia; Lachnospirales; Lachnospiraceae. The record is from RNAcentral.
ACGGAAGGCAGCAGUGGGGAAUAUUGCACAAUGGGCGAAAGCCUGAUGCAGCGACGCCGCGUGAGCGAAGAAGUAUUUCGGUAUGUAAAGCUCUAUCAGCAGGGAAGAAGAAAUGACGGUACCUGACUAAGAAGCCCCGGCUAACUACGUGCCAGCAGCCGCGGUAAUACGUAGGGGGCAAGCGUUAUCCGGAUUUACUGGGUGUAAAGGGAGCGCAGGCGGCAGGGCAAGUCUGAUGUGAAAACCUGGGGCUUAACUUCGGGACUGCAUUGGAAACUGCUCAGCUUGAGUGUCGGAGAGGUAAGUGGAAUUCCUAGUGUAGCGGUGAAAUGCGUAGAUAUUAGGAGGAACACCAGUGGCGAAGGCGGCUUACUGGACGACAACUGACGCUGAGGCUCGAAAGCGUGGGGAGCAAACAGGAUUAGAUACCCUGGUA